UAAAUCUAAGACAAGUGAACGCUGCGCG
This 28-nucleotide small RNA is filed under the name Bombyx mori (domestic silkworm). Its description in RNAcentral is "piRNA piR-bmo-2216756". Lineage: Eukaryota; Metazoa; Arthropoda; Insecta; Lepidoptera; Bombycidae. The record is from RNAcentral.